RNAcentral lists this ribosomal RNA (910 nucleotides) under uncultured bacterium. Its description in RNAcentral is "bacterial SSU rRNA". It matches the Rfam family "Bacterial small subunit ribosomal RNA", at positions 8 to 916 of the family's 1533-position model. The record is from RNAcentral.
AGAGUUUGAUCCUGGCUCAGAUUGAACGCUGGCGGCAUGCCUUACACAUGCAAGUCGAACGGUAACAGGUCUUCGGAUGCUGACGAGUGGCGAACGGGUGAGUAAUACAUCGGAACGUGCCCAGUAAUGGGGGAUAGCUCGGCGAAAGCCGGAUUAAUACCGCAUACGCCCUGAGGGGGAAAGUGGGGGACCGCAAGGCCUCACGUUAUUGGAGCGGCCGAUGGCUGAUUAGCUAGUUGGUAGGGUAAAGGCCUACCAAGGCGACGAUCAGUAGCUGGUCUGAGAGGACGAUCAGCCACACUGGGACUGAGACACGGCCCAGACUCCUACGGGAGGCAGCAGUGGGGAAUUUUGGACAAUGGGGGAAACCCUGAUCCAGCAAUGCCGCGUGUGCGAAGAAGGCCUUCGGGUUGUAAAGCACUUUUGUCAGGGAAGAAAUCCUUUGGGCUAAUACCCUAGGGGGAUGACGGUACCUGAAGAAUAAGCACCGGCUAACUACGUGCCAGCAGCCGCGGUAAUACGUAGGGUGCAAGCGUUAAUCGGAAUUACUGGGCGUAAAGCGUGCGCAGGCGGUUGUGUAAGACAGGUGUGAAAUCCCCGGGCUUAACCUGGGAAUUGCAUUUGUGACUGCACGACUAGAGUGUGUCAGAGGGGGGUGGAAUUCCACGUGUAGCAGUGAAAUGCGUAGAUAUGUGGAGGAACACCAAUGGCGAAGGCAGCCCCCUGGGAUAACACUGACGCUCAUGCACGAAAGCGUGGGGAGCAAACAGGAUUAGAUACCCUGGUAGUCCACGCCCUAAACGAUGUCAACUAGUUGUUGGGGAUUUACUUCCUUGGUAACGUAGCUAACGCGUGAAGUUGACCGCCUGGGGAGUACGGCCGCAAGGUUAAAACUCAAAGGAAUUGACGG